RNAcentral lists this ribosomal RNA (253 nucleotides) under uncultured bacterium. RNAcentral describes it as "partial 16S ribosomal RNA". It matches the Rfam family "Bacterial small subunit ribosomal RNA", at positions 524 to 776 of the family's 1533-position model. The record is from RNAcentral.
UACGAGGGGGGCAAGCGUUGUUCGGAAUUACUGGGCGUAAAGCAUGCGUAGGCGGUUUGGUAAGUUAGAUGUGUAAUCCCCGGGCUCAACUCGGGAGCUGCAUUUAAGACUGCUAGACUAGAAUAUGGUAGGGGGUAAUGGAAUUCUUAGUGUAGGGGUAAAAUCCGUAGAUAUUAAGAGGAACACCAGAAGCGAAGGCGAUUACCUGGGCCAUUAUUGACGCUGAGGCAUGAAAGCGUGGGGAGCAAACAGG